AGCUGCCAAAGAGGAAGGAACUCUCUCACAGAAGGGAUAGAGUAUUUCCUGAAAUGCAGUCACAUGCCUGCAGCAAUGUUCCCUCUAAGGAGUGGUGGUCACUGAGCGUGCUGCUUCGGUCCAUGAGCGUGCCACUUUGGUCCCAACUUCUCCUUUUGGCGUGGCGCAGUCCACCGCUGAUUAUGGCCGCAUGCCUGGAGCACCUUGGCGAACAUAGUCUGGUCCCCACACCCCACCGCUAGCCUGAGCCCAUGGCAGACUACAGGCUCCAGCAAGUACCAAAAGGGGGAGGUGGCACUGGGAAGCAAGCACGGGGUGUUGCGCUCUGCAACAAAGACCAUUUCCUGCUGCUGCCACAAUGGCAAUGCCAUGCACGCAGCAGAGGCCUGAGUGCCAGAGCUACCGCACAGACAUUGGGCUGCACACAGGUGGUUUAAGGCACUGCACAAGGGACAUUCCACCCCACUGGGCACCAGACACCUUUGUAAAAGCAGCUUCUCCCCGAUGGCCUGGAAGCUCAGCUGUGUAGGGCCCGCCAGCACUAAGGCAGCAGCGUACUCUGAGGCUCCAAAUGCGCCCAGUGCUAGUGUGCACACAAGGGUCCACCCUGCCCAUCCACGAUGGCAGUACGGGCUGCACAGGGAGCAGGGCUGCAGGCAGGAGCUGUGGCAGAGGGUGACAUUCAUGGAAAUAAAAGACAGCCACCACAUUCCUCAUUGAGGGCCAAAGCAUGCAGGAGGCUUGUAUGUGUGUUAUAAAUGCAAAAUAAACAAAAAAGGUUUAUGUCAGUAGUUUAAAAUGCCUUGAGCUAUUAUUAAAUAUUGGUUAUCAGAUCAGCAUCAGCCAAUAUGGUUGGUUAAUCAAUACCAAUAUUGGUCAAUCAAUAUCAAUAUGGUUGGUUAAUCUUGGUAUUGGCCAAGAAAUCUUAAAGGGAGCAGUGCUGUCUCUCUUCCUUUCUCCCUUGGAGGGAGGGAGACCAGAGGAUUGUGGUAUACUCCAUGUCCUUAACACCCAAAAGAAGCAUACAGCAUUCAAGUUAGUGGGAGGGGAGCAGAGUUCCCAACUGUCUGUAAAUUUAUGGACAGACUAUUAAAAUCAAGCCUAAAAAUGCCUGUCCAAAAAGUCUGAGAGCAAAAUGGAGCUGCCCAUAAAAUCUGUAGCUUGACUGAAGAUCUCCCAUCGGAGGCAAGCCUUAAAGGACAGACAGAGCAUAGCAGUGCCACCUGAUGUUUGAGUGAGUGUGCAACACCUGCAAGAAGCUUUUGCUUAGUGCUCUGUAGCUGGUAGUCCUUUCCUCAACAGCCAUGUACUGGUACUGUUUGCAUCACUGCCUGUAACACUGGUGCAGGUAGCAGAAAUAGUCCU
Alligator mississippiensis (American alligator) is the source of this 1365-nucleotide long non-coding RNA. RefSeq lists it as uncharacterized. The transcript has 3 exons. Lineage: Eukaryota; Metazoa; Chordata; Crocodylia; Alligatoridae. The record is from RefSeq and is a predicted model, not a curated record.